GGAAGGUAUAAUUGAAUCACGGGGAUCAUUUUUAUCGUCGCUCUGUAAGAGAGUAUGAAACGACUUCAACAUGUGUGAAAGUUGCGGUGCUGAGAUUAUAGGUUUUUUUUUGUCAAGCACUGCCCCGCUGCCACAAAACAUCUAAUUUUACAAUAUAUCAGAGUUUAACUGCACGCAUCCAAAUGCCAUCAAACAUAUAUCCUGCUGUGACUCACCCUGCAAAUGUUUAAACCUGCACUAGACACUCUUCUGGAAUGUGUGUGAUUCCCUAAGGAACGAGAAGUCCAUGUACGAUGCUGGCGAUGUACUGCCAUGUGAUGUGUGAGAGCCAAAAGAAGAGGCUGCAUGCCCCAUGAAAACAGUUGCAGGAAAUCUGGUUGCUGUCAAGCUUCUGUAUGUGCUGGGUGCUGAACGUCAUGUGAGAGUGUAUUCUGAGUAGAUGACUUACAAGCAUCAUGUUUGUUCCUCUCUCUCUCUCUCUCAUGGCCACCUGGCUUCCCGGAACCACAAACAUAACAAAAGGGAAGUCAAAGGAACAUUAAAAAAUAGUAGAAGUUUGGUAAACUGAAUAUGAAGAAACUAAUUCUACUUGCACUGAAUUGAUAACCCAUUGAGAACUGAAAUAAGGAAGUGUGCAGUGAUCUACGUUAAUGUGUUUUUUUUUAAGAUGUGAAAUGCAGUCUGCCAAUGACAUGCACAUUGGUCACACCCCUUUUGAAAGCCUGGAGAGUUGCAGCUCUUGGACUCUGCAGUUAAAAUAAAUUAUUCAUGAAAGAUCAAAGAUUGAUGCAAGCACUGGAAUCUUUAUGGUACAGCAAAACCAUAAGUGGUCACAGUGUGGCAGAACACAAGACCACCUUUAAUACCAUGAUGCCACUUCAUAGAAUGACUGGCCAUUCCAAGAUCAUCUGCAAGAACGGUUCUAGUCGAUCAUCAUCCCAUGAGCAGAUGGCCGGGAAAGACUAAAGCUCCUCGGUUAGAUUGGACACUUGUAUUCAGAUUUAGACUCUCUGAAUUAGGGCAGGUUGAGGAAUAAUUGCAAAAGAGCAUUAUGUGGCCAGUCAGUGAAAUCAUAGCACCAUCAUCAAAGAUGUCAGGCAAUAUAAAAGUGAAACCAAUUUGCCCAUUGGCUCCUUCUGGUAUACUUCCUAAGAUCAAAAUGAAAUUAAUUCCCCUUUUUUUCUUAGCCCAUAUCUUCCCCUGAUUCAAUUAUUUAUUCAAUUUUCGUUUAAAUCAUCCGAGGUCUCCAGAUCAACCAUUUUUUUGUGACAACACAUUCCAUUCUACAACCUAAAUAGAUUUGUCCUAAUUCUUCUCACCUUCUUGGCUAGGUUUAAAUUGCCCCUCUUCACUGAUCCUUCAAUCAACAUUUUUUUAAUGUUGACCUUAUUAAAAUAAUUAAUUAUUUUGCAAAUCUUUGGCAAAUUCUUCUAUUCUACUACAGAUAAUAUGAUCAAAUAUAGAAUGUGUCUGUUUAUUGGUUGCUUUCAAUAUUGUUCUGAUGAAUCUAUUAUCAAGAAAUUGAAGUUCAGCCAUUCCUAAUGCAUUUUCCAUGGACAGGUCCACCCUGGGUUGUACACGCCUGACUUAUGUUAACCCUGUACAUAUGUUUGGGAGAAUGGUAUGGUGAAUGGAGAUGGAUUUGCUAGCGGCUGCUGGGCUGCAGGCAUCUUCAUUUCCCUGCACCUUCUCUCCCCACUCAUGAAAAGCAACAACUGGGGAUUGGGUCGAGCCAAGGAAACAGGAAGCGCCAACACCUAAAGAUGUGCUGGGCACAGCCCACAAGGACGGCCACGCAUUCCAGUGCCAGCGUGGCGUGUCCACGGAGCUUUACAGAACCGGGAAACAUCAACAGCAAAACAAGACCCUUUCCUCCCUACCACCCACCAAUCCACAUGGUUGGUUUCUGACUCUACGUAGAAAUUCAGUGCUCAGGACUAUGUCUGAGCCAGGAUAUCGAAGGAGGUUUAUCUCCAAUUCAAACCUAAGUUCAUUUUGCUUACAAAAACUAUUUCAGUGUAAGAACAAAUACUAAAUUAAUUAGGAUCUAUGAAAAUCAAAGUUAUCACUGAAGCCCAAAAAUAUUAGGCUGCAAGCCAAAUGCAGAUGAAGCAAGGAGGUUAGUUCUCCGAGAUUUACAAUGGUCCCUGAAGCAAAUAUUAAGACUAAGUGAAGAUCGUUACAUCAUGCUUAUUCUAUUGACAUGGUGCUUAUGUCCACUUAAUGCUUUGGGUUUCUAACAAGAGGCAAAUAAUCCUUGUCACCUUUAGCCGGUUUAACACUCCUGGUGCUCCACUCCGAGCAUUCCAAAGCAGUUACGUUCCCUAUACAUAAAAAGAACCAUUGAGGCAGGGUGUGUUGCUGUGCUGGGAGCUUACCCAACAACUAAUUCCUCCUUGGCUCAGUGUGAGGAGGGUACCUUUAAGGAAGAAGAUGGAAAUGUGUUAUUGGGAGCUGGAGGAACAUGACUGGAAGAGAAAGAGAAGCUAAAAUACAGAGUGACUCUUCGUAGGCUACAUGAGGUAAGAUUGUACCCAAGUGAUGCAAUCACUCACAGACAGCUUUCACAUUCAGCAAUACGUUCCUUCUUUCCUUUACCUGUAGAUUACUUUGACUUCUUUCAAACAAACCUAAAAAUGAAGCCUACCUUAUGAUGUACAAACAUAUCUAAUUUUAGAAUGUAUUCAUUAAAUUAUGCAGGUAAGAUGAAUUAAAAAGCCUUCUCCAUUCCCUUAGUACUCUCCUUCAUUGCGUCUUUGACAGUUCAAGUGUUUUCAUGAAUCCCUUUGCUCUAUAAGUGGUGGAAAGUUAGUGACCCUCACUUGAUCAAGUUAAGAAUGGCAGAGAAUUAGCUGAAUCAGCAUUUUUCAGUAACAGUUCAUAUUGUACCACUUAGCAUAGGCAGCACUGGCAGUGUUGAUGGAUAGAGAGGUUACUUGGCAGAUGAUGUUUAAUGUGAAUAAGUAUGAGGUUAUCAACUUUGGGAGUAAGAACAGGAAGGCAAAUUAUUAUCUGAACGGUGUAGAGUUAGGUAAAGGAGAAAUACAAAGAGAUCUACGAGUCUUUGCUUAUCAGUCGCUGAAGAUGAAUGAGCAAGUGCAGCAGGCAGUGAAGAAGGCUAAUGGAAUGUUGCCCUUUAUUACAAAGGGAAUUGAGUACAAGAGCAAGGAAAUCCUCUUGCAUUUGUACAGGGCCCUGGUGAGACCACACCUGGAGUAUUGUGUACAGUUUUGGUCUCCAGGGUUAAGGAAGGACAUCCUGGCUAUAGAGGAAGUGCAGUGUAGAUUCAUGAGGUUAAUUCCUGGGACGUCCGGACUGUCUUUCGCAGAGGGGUUAGAGAGACUGGGCUUGUACACGCUGGAAUUAAGGAGAUUGAGAGGGGAUCUGAUUGCAACUUAUAAGAUUAUUAAGGGAUUGGACAAGAUAGAGUCAGGAAAUACGUUCCAGAUGCUGGGAGAGUCCAUUACCAGAGGGCAUGGUUUGAGAA
Long non-coding RNA from Hypanus sabinus (Atlantic stingray), 3487 nucleotides. RefSeq lists it as uncharacterized. The record is from RefSeq and is a predicted model, not a curated record. Lineage: Eukaryota; Metazoa; Chordata; Chondrichthyes; Myliobatiformes; Dasyatidae. The transcript has 6 exons.